UUGGCUGGGGCGGCACAUCUGUAAAACGAUAACGCAGGUGUCCCAAGGUGAGCUCAAUGAGAACAAACCUCAUAAGGAUGUGGAGUAAAAGGACAAAAGGGAUGGGCAGAGAGUCAUUUGAAAAAAUGACCUAUCCCCUAACCCCUAACCCCUAACCCCCUAAACGUGACCAGCGCGCGUGGGCAUUCCCUAACCCGUGCGUGGGCUUGGG
Molecule: non-coding RNA, 211 nt
Filed under: Salpingoeca rosetta
Lineage: Eukaryota; Choanoflagellata; Craspedida; Salpingoecidae
Description: Salpingoeca sp. ATCC 50818 Eukaryotic large subunit ribosomal RNA
Rfam family: Eukaryotic large subunit ribosomal RNA
Source: Rfam by way of RNAcentral